GGAUUUAUUGGGCGUAAAGCGAGCGCAGGCGGUUAGAUAAGUCUGAAGUUAAAGGCUGUGGCUUAACCAUAGUACGCUUUGGAAACUGUUUAACUUGAGUGCAGAAGGGGAGAGUGGAAUUCCAUGUGUAGCGGUGAAAUGCGUAGAUAUAUGGAGGAACACCGGUGGCGAAAGCGGCUCUNUGGUCUGUAACUGACGCUGAGGCUCGAAAGCGUGGGGAGCGAACAGGAUUAGAUACCCUGGUAGUCCACGCCGUAAACGAUGAGUGCUAGGUGUUAGGCCCUUUCCGGGGCUUAGUGCCGCAGCUAACGCAUUAAGCACUCCGCCUGGGGAGUACGACCGCAAGGUUGAAACUCAAAGGAAUUGACGGGGGCCCGCACAAGCGGUGGAGCAUGUGGUUUAAUUCGAAGCAACGCGAAGAACCUUACCAGGUCUUGACAUCCCGAUGCCCGCUCUAGAGAUAGAGUUUUACUUCGGUACAUCGGUGACAGGUGGUGCAUGGUUGUCGUCAGCUCGUGUCGUGAGAUGUUGGGUUAAGUCCCGCAACGAGCGCAACCCUUAUUGUUAGUUGCCAUCAUUCAGUUGGGCACUCUAGCGAGACUGCCGGUAAUAAACCGGAGGAAGGUGGGGAUGACGUCAAAUCAUCAUGCCCCUUAUGACCUGGGCUACACACGUGCUACAAUGGCUGGUACAACGAGUCGCAAGUCGGUGACGGCAAGCUAAUCUCUUAAAGCCAGUCUCAGUUCGGAUUGUAGGCUGCAACUCGCCUACAUGAAGUCGGAAUCGCUAGUGAUCGCGGAUCAGCACGCCGCGGUGAAUACGUUCCCGGGCCUUGUACACACCGCCCGUCACACCACGAGAGUUUGUAACACCCGAAGUCGGNGAGGUA
RNAcentral lists this ribosomal RNA (889 nucleotides) under uncultured bacterium. RNAcentral describes it as "bacterial SSU rRNA". It matches the Rfam family "Bacterial small subunit ribosomal RNA", at positions 547 to 1437 of the family's 1533-position model. The record is from RNAcentral.